CGUCGUGACUGCGUGCCUUUUGAAGAAUGAGCCUGCGAGUUUGCGGUGUGUUGCGAGGUUAACCCGGGUGGGGAAGCCGUAGCGAAAGCGAGUCCGAACAGGGCGAUUUUAGUAGCACGCUCAAGACCCGAAGCGGAGUGAUCUAGCCAUGGGCAGGUUGAAGCGGAGGUAAGACUUCGUGGAGGACCGAACCCACCAGGGUUGAAAACCUGGGGGAUGACCUGUGGUUAGGGGUGAAAGGCCAAUCAAACUCCGUGAUAGCUGGUUCUCCCCGAAAUGCAUUUAGGUGCAGCGUCGUGUGUUUCUUGCCGGAGGUAGAGCACUGGAUAGGCGAUGGGCCCUACCGGGUUACUGACCUUAGCCAAACUCCGAAUGCCGGUAAGUGAGAGCGCGGCAGUGAGACUGUGGGGGAUAAGCUCCAUGGUCGAGAGGGAAACAGCCCAGAGCAUCGACUAAGGCCCCUAAGCGUACGCUAAGUGGGAAAGGAUGUGGAGUCGCACAGACAACCAGGAGGUUGGCUUAGAAGCAGCCACCCUUGAAAGAGUGCGUAAUAGCUCACUGGUCUAGUGAUUCCGCGCCGACAAUGUAGCGGGGCUCAAGCGUACCGCCGAAGUCGUGUCAUU
This 623-nucleotide ribosomal RNA is filed under the name Streptomyces sp. XHT-2. RNAcentral describes it as "partial 23S ribosomal RNA". It matches the Rfam family "Bacterial large subunit ribosomal RNA", at positions 589 to 1209 of the family's 2925-position model. Lineage: Bacteria; Bacillati; Actinomycetota; Actinomycetes; Kitasatosporales; Streptomycetaceae. The record is from RNAcentral.